Molecule: long non-coding RNA, 372 nt
Organism: Trematomus bernacchii (emerald rockcod)
Lineage: Eukaryota; Metazoa; Chordata; Actinopteri; Perciformes; Nototheniidae
Exons: 3
Source: RefSeq, a predicted model, not a curated record
CUCCACGGCUCUCCGUUUUAACUUCAACUUCCCCGCUGCCCCGGCUUGUAUACUGGCCGACUGACAUCGGAGGAGAUGACGUCACCAGAGACCUGCAGAAAUCUACCAUGGGCGUAUACGUCAUCAACAAGGAUGGUGGAGAACCUGGACAUUAUGACGACGUUGGGAUUUUUGUUGAAGGACUAAUCAUUCUGGACAACAUUGGAUCUGUAGCCCGAGCUUGUGCCAUCAUGCUGGGAGUCAUCUAUACACUGAACAUGGCUUACCCCAAAGAGCUAAGGUACUACUAUGAAUUCAUUCAGAAAGUGCUCUUGCAAAUGGAUGGUGAAAGGCUUUCCCCCAAAGUCCUUGGACUGAAGAACAAGAUACAUG